ACGGGAGGCAGCAGUGGGGGAUAUUGCACAAUGGGGGAAACCCUGAUGCAGCGACGCCGCGUGAGCGAAGAAGAUCUUCGGAUUGUAAAGCUCUGUCUUAGGGGACGAUAAUGACGGUACCCUGAGAGGAAGCCACGGCUAACUACGUGCCAGCAGCCGCGGUAAUACGUAGGUGGCAAGCGUUGUCCGGAAUUACUGGGUGUAAAGGGAGCGCAGGCGGGUCGACAAGUUGGAAGUGAAAAUUACGGGCUCAACUCGUAAACUGCUUUCAAAACUGCCGAUCUUGAGUGGUGUAGAGGUAGGCGGAAUUCCCGGUGUAGCGGUGGAAUGCGUAGAUAUCGGGAGGAACACCAGUGGCGAAGGCGGCCUACUGGGCACUAACUGACGCUGAGGCUCGAAAGCAUGGGUAGCAAACAGGAUUAGAUACCCUGGUA
This 434-nucleotide ribosomal RNA is filed under the name uncultured Oscillospiraceae bacterium. Its description in RNAcentral is "bacterial SSU rRNA". It matches the Rfam family "Bacterial small subunit ribosomal RNA", at positions 341 to 792 of the family's 1533-position model. The record is from RNAcentral. Lineage: Bacteria; Bacillati; Bacillota; Clostridia; Eubacteriales; Oscillospiraceae.